GGUCUUUUGUUUAUAUAAAAGAUCUGGCCUGCCCUAUGAUUAAUUUUAAAUGGCUGCAGUAUUUUGACUGUACAAAGGUAGCAUAAUCAUUUGUCUUUUAAUUGAAGGCUGGAAUGAAUGGUUGGAUGAGAAAUAUACUUUAUUUAUUUUAUAUAAAAAAAUUAACUUUUUAGUCAAAAGGCUAAUAUUUUUUUAUAGGACGAGAAGACCCUAUAGAAUUUUAUUUUAUUUUAUAUAUAAAUUUUUUUGAUAUUUAUAAUUUUAUAUAUUUAUAUUAAUUUUGUUGGGGUGACAGAAAAAUUUAUAUAACUUUUUCUAUUUUAUACAUUUAUAUAUGUUUUUUUGAUCCUAUAUUAUGGAUUAUAAGAUUAAAUUACCUUAGGGAUAACAGCGUUAUUUUUUUGGAGAGUUCAUAUCGAUAAAAAAGUUUGCGACCUCGAUGUUGGAUUAAAAUAAGUAACAGGGGUAGAAUAUUGUUUACUAGGUCUGUUCGACCUUUAAAUUUUUACA
This 510-nucleotide ribosomal RNA is filed under the name Neoborella sp. WCW-2003. RNAcentral describes it as "partial 16S ribosomal RNA". The stretch from base 384 to 510 matches the Rfam family "Bacterial large subunit ribosomal RNA", at positions 2473 to 2600 of the family's 2925-position model. Lineage: Eukaryota; Metazoa; Arthropoda; Insecta; Hemiptera; Miridae. The record is from RNAcentral.